Long non-coding RNA from Orcinus orca (killer whale), 1076 nucleotides. RefSeq lists it as uncharacterized. The record is from RefSeq and is a predicted model, not a curated record. Lineage: Eukaryota; Metazoa; Chordata; Mammalia; Artiodactyla; Delphinidae. The transcript is spliced from 4 exons.
GCGCGCACCGCCUUAUGGGGCGGGGCCUCCACGUAAGGGUAAGGCGCACGCUGCCCCGUGGGGCGGGGUCUCCACGUGAGGGCGAGGCGCGCGCUGCUCAGUGAGGUGCGGUUUCCACGUGAGGGCGAAGCGAGCGCUGCCUUGUGGGGCGGGGCCUCCACGUGAGGGUAAGGCGCACGCUGCCCCGUGGGGCGGGGUCUCCAUGUGAGGGCGAGGCGCGCGCUGCUCAGUGAGGUGCGGUCUCCACGUGAGGACAGACGAACGCUGCCUUGUGGGGCGGGGCCUCCACGUCAGGGAAAAGGACCUCUCAAAAGACUGGAGGUUUAACAACAAAUGAGGAUUUGCUUCAAUUUGUGUAUUUUUUGACACAAAGUUUUCUCAAAACAGCGGGCACCUGUGGGUCCGAAUUGUUCAAUAAUCCUCAAAGAACGAAAGCCACCGAGAAAAGCGUUUAAAGGGCAGUUGAGAUAACAGCCGGUGCCUGGACUUGGCCAAGCGGAAACCCUCGAGGGCAGUGGCUCUCAAAGUGUAGUGCCUGGACUGGACCAGCAGCAGCAGCGUGAUCACCGGGAAACUUGUUAGAAAUGCAAAUUCUUGGGCCUCACCCUAGACCUACUGAAUCACUGUAAAGAUGCGGCCCAGCAGUCUGUGUUUUAGCAAGUCCACCACGUGAUUCUGAUGCAGGCUGAAGUUAAGAACCAUUGCUUGGCGCAGUGGUUAAGAAUCCGCCUGCCAAUGCAGGGGACACGGUUUCGAGCCCUGGUCCAGGAAGAUCUCAUAUGCUGUGGAGCAACUAAGCCUGUGCGCCACCACUACUGAGCCUGCGCUCUAGAGCAAGCGAGCUACAACUACUGAGCCCACGUGCUACAACUGCUGAAGCCUGCGUGCCUAGAGCCCAUGCUCCGGAACAAGAGAAGCCACUGCAAUGAGAAGCUCAUGUACCCCAAUGAAGAGUAGGCCCUGCUCGCUGCAACUAGAGAAAGCAACAAAGACCCAACACAGCCAAAAAUAAAUAAAUAAAAUAAAUAAAUUUAUAUAUAAAAAAAGUUUCAUUUUCUCUAAAAUUAGACAUUACC